Molecule: ribosomal RNA, 468 nt
Filed under: uncultured bacterium
Lineage: Bacteria
Description: partial 16S ribosomal RNA
Rfam family: Bacterial small subunit ribosomal RNA
Source: RNAcentral
GACGAACGCUGGCGGCGUGCUUAACACAUGCAAGUCGAACGGAAAGGCCCUGCUUUUGUGGGGUGCUCGAGUGGCGAACGGGUGAGUAACACGUGAGUAACCUGCCCUUGACUUUGGGAUAACUUCAGGAAACUGGGGCUAAUACCGGAUAGGAGCUCCUGCUGCAUGGUGGGGGUUGGAAAGUUUCGGCGGUUGGGGAUGGACUCGCGGCUUAUCAGCUUGUUGGUGGGGUAGUGGCUUACCAAGGCUUUGACGGGUAGCCGGCCUGAGAGGGUGACCGGGCACAUUGGGCCUGAGAUACGGCCCAGACUCCUACGGGAGGCAGCAGGGGGGAAUAUUGCACAAUGGGCGGAAGCCUGAUGCAGCAACGCCGCGUGCGGGAUGACGGCCUUCGGGUUGUAAACCGCUUUCGCCUGUGACGAAGCGUGAGUGACGGUAAUGGGUAAAGAAGCACCGGCUAACUACGUG